UACGAAGGGGGCUAGCGUUGUUCGGAAUUACUGGGCGUAAAGCGCACGUAGGCGGAUAUUUAAGUCAGGGGUGAAAUCCCAGAGCUCAACUCUGGAACUGCCUUUGAUACUGGGUAUCUUGAGUAUGGAAGAGGUAAGUGGAAUUCCGAGUGUAGAGGUGAAAUUCGUAGAUAUUCGGAGGAACACCAGUGGCGAAGGCGGCUUACUGGUCCAUUACUGACGCUGAGGCGCGACAGCGUGGGGAGCAAACAGG
This 253-nucleotide ribosomal RNA is filed under the name uncultured bacterium. Its description in RNAcentral is "partial 16S ribosomal RNA". It matches the Rfam family "Bacterial small subunit ribosomal RNA", at positions 524 to 776 of the family's 1533-position model. The record is from RNAcentral.